RNAcentral lists this ribosomal RNA (510 nucleotides) under uncultured bacterium. Its description in RNAcentral is "partial 16S ribosomal RNA". It matches the Rfam family "Bacterial small subunit ribosomal RNA", at positions 28 to 507 of the family's 1533-position model. The record is from RNAcentral.
GACGAACGCUGGCGGCGUGCUUAACACAUGCCAGUCGAACGAAGAGCGAUGGAAGCUUGCUUCUAUCACUCUUAGUGGCGCACGGGUGAGUAACGCGUAAUCAACCUGCCCUUCAGAGGGGGACAACAGUUGGAAACGACUGCUAAUACCGCAUACGAUCUAACCUCGGCAUCGAGGAUAGAUGAAAGGUGGCCUCUACAUGUAAGCUAUCACUGAAGGAGGGGAUUGCGUCUGAUUAGCUAGUUGGAGGGGUAACGGCCCACCAAGGCGAUGAUCAGUAGCCGGUCUGAGAGGAUGAACGGCCACAUUGGGACUGAGACACGGCUCAGACUCCUACGGGAGGCAGCAGUGGGGAAUCUUCCGCAAUGGACGAAAGUCUGACGGAGCAACGCCGCGUGAGUGAUGACGGCCUUCGGGUUGUAAAGCUCUGUUAAUCGGGACGAAAGGCCUUCUUGCGAAUAGUGAGAAGGAUUGACGGUACCGGAAUAGAAAGCCACGGCUAACUACGUG